CGUACACUCCUACGGGAGGCAGCAGUGGGGAAUAUUGCACAAUGGGCGCAAGCCUGAUGCAGCCAUGCCGCGUGUAUGAAGAAGGCCUUCGGGUUGUAAAGUACUUUCAGCGGGGAGGAAGGCGAUAAGGUUAAUAACCUUGUCGAUUGACGUUACCCGCAGAAGAAGCACCGGCUAACUCCGUGCCAGCAGCCGCGGUAAUACGGAGGGUGCAAGCGUUAAUCGGAAUUACUGGGCGUAAAGCGCACGCAGGCGGUCUGUCAAGUCGGAUGUGAAAUCCCCAGGCUCAACCUGGGAACUGCAUUCGAAACUGGCAGGCUAGAGUCUUGUAGAGGGGGGUAGAAUUCCAGGUGUAGCGGUGAAAUGCGUAGAGAUCUGGAGGAAUACCGGUGGCGAAGGCGGCCCCCUGGACAAAGACUGACGCUCAGGUGCGAAAGCGUGGGGAGCAAACAGGAUUAGAAACCCCGGUAGUCCCAUGAU
RNAcentral lists this ribosomal RNA (480 nucleotides) under uncultured organism. RNAcentral's name for it is "partial 16S ribosomal RNA". It matches the Rfam family "Bacterial small subunit ribosomal RNA", at positions 330 to 801 of the family's 1533-position model. The record is from RNAcentral.